This is a long non-coding RNA of Thalassophryne amazonica, 194 nucleotides long. RefSeq lists it as uncharacterized. NCBI's taxonomy places the organism in Eukaryota, Metazoa, Chordata, Actinopteri, Batrachoidiformes, Batrachoididae. The record is from RefSeq and is a predicted model, not a curated record. The transcript has 3 exons.
UCUACGAUGAAUUGUAUGAAGUUCAGUGUUUUGGGCUGUGAGCACCUUCAGGUCUUCUGAAUCUGUGUUUUUGUCCAUCAUGAUGCUGUUGCUGACCAUCCAGUUCCUCUUUGCCGGGUUGGUUCUCAUCAGCGACGUCAGUCCGACGCCUGAAGAUUGUCAACACCUGGUCAAACCCCUGUCUCUAAAGGACU